Molecule: ribosomal RNA, 763 nt
Filed under: Nocardioides sp. A2b-8
Lineage: Bacteria; Bacillati; Actinomycetota; Actinomycetes; Propionibacteriales; Nocardioidaceae
Description: bacterial SSU rRNA
Rfam family: Bacterial small subunit ribosomal RNA
Source: RNAcentral
GGCGAACGGGUGAGUAACACGUGAGUAAUCUGCCCUCCACUUUGGGAUAGCCACCGGAAACGGUGAUUAAUACCGGAUAUGACCACGAUUCGCAUGGGUUGUGGUGGAAAGUUUUUCGGUGGGGGAUGUGCUCGCGGCCUAUCAGCUUGAUGGUGGGGUAAUGGCCUACCAUGGCUUCGACGGGUAGCCGGCCUGAGAGGGUGACCGGCCACACUGGGACUGAGACACGGCCCAGACUCCUACGGGAGGCAGCAGUGGGGAAUAUUGGACAAUGGGCGGAAGCCUGAUCCAGCAACGCCGCGUGAGGGAUGACGGCCUUCGGGUUGUAAACCUCUUUCAGCACAGACGAAGCGAAAGUGACGGUAUGUGCAGAAGAAGCACCGGCCAACUACGUGCCAGCAGCCGCGGUAAUACGUAGGGUGCGAGCGUUGUCCGGAAUUAUUGGGCGUAAAGGGCUCGUAGGCGGUUUGUCGCGUCGGGAGUGAAAACACACAGCUUAACUGUGUGCUGGCUUCCGAUACGGGCAGACUAGAGGUAUGCAGGGGAGAACGGAAUUCCUGGUGUAGCGGUGAAAUGCGCAGAUAUCAGGAGGAACACCGGUGGCGAAGGCGGUUCUCUGGGCAUUACCUGACGCUGAGGAGCGAAAGUGUGGGGAGCGAACAGGAUUAGAUACCCUGGUAGUCCACACCGUAAACGUUGGGCGCUAGGUGUGGGGCCUAUUCCAUGGGUUCCGUGCCGCAGCUAACGCAUUAAGCGCCCCGCC